Small nuclear RNA from Chlorocebus sabaeus (green monkey), 107 nucleotides. The record is from Ensembl. NCBI's taxonomy places the organism in Eukaryota, Metazoa, Chordata, Mammalia, Primates, Cercopithecidae.
GUGCUCGCUUCAGCAGCACAUAUACAAAAAUUAGAAUGAUACAGAGAAGAUUAGUAUGGCCCCUGUUCAAGGGUGACACGCAAAUUCGUGAAGUGUUCCAUAUAAAA